RNAcentral lists this long non-coding RNA (815 nucleotides) under Gopherus agassizii (Agassiz's desert tortoise). Its description in RNAcentral is "lncRNA (ENSGAGG00000018702.1)". The record is from RNAcentral. Lineage: Eukaryota; Metazoa; Chordata; Testudines; Testudinidae.
UUUUUUUUCCUUUUCACAAGUAGUCAUUCACCUAUUUUAUUUUAGAUCAUCGGAUCCAAGUUCUGCACCAGAAGCAUAUGAUGCAUGAACAUAAACUUUCAGAAAAACAAGAUGAAGUGUUAAGCACACCCAUGACUAUGACAGACGUAAAAGUUUCAGGGCCAUCUGUAAAAACACAGUUAUUACCAAGUGGAGUGCACAUUGAUGUGCAAGAGAUGCGAUCUUCUAACAGUGUGACAACAGAAGCAGCUCAGGUUUCUAAGAGUUCUUCAAUGCUGAUUAUUAACAAGCUGCAGAAGAUUUUCCCAAAUAUACUUUUGGACACUCAGACAAAAUAUAAGGAAGUGGAUAAUGAAAAAAAAGAAGACGGUAAAAAGAAAAGGAUGUUGUUUCCUGAUUUGGAGCAAGAUAAAAAUACUGGUAAUAACAAAGACAGAUUAACAAGAACUAAUAUUACUAUAAGAUUCCAUUCCAAUGAUAAUUCAAGCCAAACUCAGAUUGAUAUUUACAAUUUAAAAAAUUCAAGAGCGAAUCCUGAGGUGCAUAUUGUCGCCAGCAAUAUUAUUGACCAACAAAAUAAAAUAAAUUCAGUAGUAGUACAAGAUGAUGUUUUGCAAGUGACAGUAAACAGUUCGCUGGAUAAGAAAAUACAGAAUAAUACAAAAGUAAGAGAAAAAAGUCUUGCAAAAAUUGAGGCUGGAAAUAUGGAAAGAAACUCCACAGGUAGCAACAGGAAAAAACUUCUUAUAGCAGAUUUGACCACCAAUAGUAUGAAAAAAACAAGUAGUCAUUCAGCAUUUUCUGAAGAAACUUAU